GACGAACGCUGGCGGCGUGCUUAACACAUGCAAGUCGAACGGUGAUGCUCCAGCUUGCUGGAGUGGAUCAGUGGCGAACGGGUGAGUAACACGUGAGCAACCUGCCCCAGACUCUGGAAUAAGCGCUGGAAACGGCGUCUAAUACUGGAUACGAAACUGGCCCGCAUGGGCAUGGUUUGGAAAGUUUUUCGGUUUGGGAUGGGCUCGCGGCCUAUCAGCUUGUUGGUGAGGUAAUGGCUCACCAAGGCGACGACGGGUAGCCGGCCUGAGAGGGCGACCGGCCACACUUGGACUGAGACACGGCCCAGACUCCUACGGGAGGCAGCAGUGGGGAAUAUUGCACAAUGGGCGAAAGCCUGAUGCAGCGACGCCGCGUGAGGGAUGACGGCCUUCGGGUGGUAAACCUCUUUCAGCAGGGAAGAAGCGAAAGUGACGGUACCUGCAGAAGAAGCACCGGCUAACUACGU
Molecule: ribosomal RNA, 467 nt
Filed under: uncultured bacterium
Lineage: Bacteria
Description: partial 16S ribosomal RNA
Rfam family: Bacterial small subunit ribosomal RNA
Source: RNAcentral